This 1583-nucleotide long non-coding RNA is filed under the name Homo sapiens (human). RNAcentral describes it as "non-protein coding lnc-MLH3-2:1". The record is from RNAcentral. Lineage: Eukaryota; Metazoa; Chordata; Mammalia; Primates; Hominidae.
CAUUUCAAAAUUGUUCUUUCAUGUCAACUAGGUGCAUGUCUGCUAAGGGAGUUUUUGCAAGGACAGGUGGAUAGUGUGAGGCCUUUACAAUAAUCACAUCACCAUCUGGUACUAUCUGUAUGGCAGAGCAGUUCUGAUGUAGUUGUAGUAUUAUAGAUCAUUACAGAGUAUGCCAGUCAUUCCAUGAUGGAACUGUGACUGGCAGCCUUCAUUAGCCCAAAGACUGAUGCAACAGAUUGCUUUGAGAAAUAGUUUUGAAGCACAUCCAUGAAACAUAUGAUCCUAUGGGUUCCAGCAUUGAUUUCUUUGAGGUAUCAUUUUACACUUCAGUUUUUCCUGGUAGAGUAUUUUUCAGAGAUGUCUCUUCUGAGGCUAAAUUAGGAAUUUCUGUUCCUUAUUCAAGUUCCAAGAAUUGUGCCUUUCCUGCCCUCUGCCCAAACUGGAAGAUAGAAACCGUGGGAAAAAAGUGUCUUUACAAACUGCACUGUUAUCUAACUUGGUUUAUUUAGCAUAUUGAGGAAGACUUUCACAUCCAUGGAAUCCUAGUUCUAUUAAUUCUCUCCAAGCUACAACAGUUGUUUUUUUGUUUGUUUUUUUCCGAGUUUCUCGGUUCCGCCAGCAAGGCAGGGGUGGGAGGUGGGCACCCCUGAUACCAAGGCUGACAGGUAGUGAGUUGAUGUGGAACUUCUGUUUCCUCCUGUUCAGUUCAGGUUCUCUCUUUCUGAUACUUACCCCUCCUCAAAUAGGGAAACGGAGAGAGGGGAAAUAAGAAGAUGAGCCUUAAUAGGGUUUACUUAAUUGGGGUCAUAAAGAUUCUAAAAAGUAUGCAUUCCUGCAGUUCUGUUCUAGGCACUGUAAGAGCUGACCAGAAAGAGAGCUUCUACCCUUAUAACCUUCAUCCAACUCAGUCAUGCCUGGGAAGGAUGUUGGUGCUAAUUUUAGACACAGAGACUAAGAUGGACAAAGGACAAGUAUCAUAAAGCAUUUUUGGAGCCAGGAACAGAUUUAAGUUCCUUGCCUCACUGCUGCUCUUACUCCAAACCACACAAUUGUACCCAAGUGAAUUGCUGUUAGAAUUGGUGCCUUUGGAGGAGACAAUUGCUCGUAAUUGGUAGCUACAAGCCACUUCACUGAGAAAGCGUGGGGUCUUAGAUGCUUUAAGAAAUAAUAGAAAGACUGAGCCUGAGUGAGUCAGGCUCUUCUGAGUCAUACAGCUUUUAGGUCAGUGUAAAAUGCCGACUUUCUGAGGUCUUACUUUUUUCCCCUCUCUGGAAGACCUAAGGCAAAGAUCGCUCUCAAAGAGAUAUCAAAGAAUAGAGACCUUUCCCUCAGAACCUACCUCUGCCCAGUGUUAACCAAAAUGUGGUUUCAAAUCACCUGUUCAAAGCCCACAGGCUAUUUGUUAAACAUGCAGAUUCUUAGUGCUCCCUCCACCCACACAGACACUGCACAAGAGGCCCUGCUUUGGACCACUAGUUCCUAAACAUGGCAGAAAAUCUGGAUCACCUGGGAGACUUUUUAGGUUAAAAACCGGAAACAAUAUGUAAGCAUAAACAUGUCAACAAAAUUAGAGGAUGUCCCUC